Molecule: unclassified non-coding RNA, 441 nt
Filed under: Hevea brasiliensis (rubber tree)
Lineage: Eukaryota; Viridiplantae; Streptophyta; Magnoliopsida; Malpighiales; Euphorbiaceae
Source: RNAcentral
GAGCAGGAAAGGAGAGACGCUCAAUAUAGCAAUUUUCUCUUUCCUUCAAAGGUAGACACAGCCGGCCUGGGGACAAGCUGGCACAAUCUCAUUGGUCUAGCGUAUAUGAGGGGCAUGGAAGAUACCGUAGUCAUACCUCAAUUAGUCAACAAGUUGUAUUUUUCUUGGCUUCUGAGUUUUGAUGCAAACUGUGUCUGCAAAAUCUUUCUCGCCAAUUUUGAUCACAUAAGUUUUUCUCUCAUACAACUGAUUCUUUGAAAUGGAAAUCGCGACUACCGUUGGAGGCAGUAUCCUCUCUGCUUGCUUCCAGAGUAUCCUCGACAAGUUGAACUUCAUUGACUUCGGGAAAUAUGUCGGCCAGGGGCAUGUCUUGAAUCAACUCAACAGGUGGGAGAAUAUGCUCAAGAGAAUUCAUGCCGUGCUUGAUGAUGCAGAGGAGAA